This is a long non-coding RNA of Carassius gibelio (silver crucian carp), 408 nucleotides long. RefSeq lists it as uncharacterized. The transcript is spliced from 3 exons. Lineage: Eukaryota; Metazoa; Chordata; Actinopteri; Cypriniformes; Cyprinidae. The record is from RefSeq and is a predicted model, not a curated record.
CAAACAUUAGAAUAACAGCCUUUUCUACUAGGAGCAUCAUCAUACUUUUGAUUUAUUUAAUUUCUUUUUCAGAUACUGAAUAGCUGGCAGGUGUUCUUCUAUAUACCAUGGUGUCCUCGUUCAGUGUUGUGGAGUUUGUGGAUGAGGUUGACUCCGAUGGCUGCAAGAAAAUGGACAUAAUUCCAUUCGAGUGGUUCAAGGGCACAGAGAGAAAAGUAUGCUGGUGGCCACCAGUCUCACUAUCCAAUGUAACGAAGGCUGUAAAAGAGCACACACCACCAGCCAGCAACUGGAUAGCGUGUAACGUUCGUGUAAUGGGAAACGCAGCAUCUUAUGCCGAAGCUAGGGUUAAACUCCACCAAGCUGAGUAUUCAUCAGACUUGACAGACACAGAAAAUAUCUCAAGAA